Molecule: non-coding RNA, 2670 nt
Organism: Heterocephalus glaber (naked mole-rat)
Lineage: Eukaryota; Metazoa; Chordata; Mammalia; Rodentia; Bathyergidae
Source: RefSeq, a predicted model, not a curated record
GGUCCUUGGCUCAAAUCAUCAUCAGGUGUUUAAUAAGAAGAAACAAGUUCAAUUAAGAGAUUAAGUAUGGAUGGUCCAAAUAGUAAGACUGUGAGAAGCAUUAACAAAGGCCCCAUCAAGGGAAAUAAGCGAGGUGCCCAAUUCCAGAUUUUGACCAGCAUCCCCAUGACUCAGCUAGUUAGUUCCUGGUGGAUCUUAACAACACAGUCAGCUAGCUUUCAUGCUGUGUCUUUCACUAUUUUAGACGGAUUGACAAAGAAACAACAUUUUUUUUCUAGAAACAGACAUAAUCUUCCUUUCUCAGUAGUCAGGUGGUCUAGUCCCCCAUGGUUUUGUAGAGCCAAUGCUGCCAGUGAAUCUAUUGGAUUUGGGGGAUGACAAUGCUCUGGAAGAUUUGGACUAGGCUGUGUGUCAGGUCCUUAGAUAAUUUUUGGUAAGGAGAGAGAUGUCCUCCUACUCCAGUGCCCAUUCAAGUUGUACCCAGACCCUCUAGGAGAGGAAUGAGUUCUUGGCUCACUUGGUUUUUGUCUUGAUAACUAAAGGAACUGGAAGAGAUGGCUACUAGGUGCUUUGGGGCCAGAUAAAUGCAGGUGCAUGUUCCUGUCCAGUUUGAUGGAAGACUGAAAUAAGAGAGGCAAUCCUUGAGCCACCAAAGAGGAUCUGAGGCCAAAGAAGAACAAGAACAAACCAAGAGAGUGUCAUCCACAGAAUCAGAUGAGGCAGAGUGCAGAGGGUCUGUCUGCACACUGGAGACCAAAGGAUUCAGUUGAAGGUCUGGAGCUCAUUGCAACGUCCCAUUUGAGUCCCUAUCAGGAGGCCCAUGGGUCUGCAGUGGAAGGCUGAAAAGCCUACACUGGAAGGCUGAAAGAUCUGCACUGGAAGCUGAAGAGUCUGCAAUGGAAGCCAGGAGACGACGUCCAAGGUGAAGGUGAAGACCGGAGUCCUCUACAGAAACAGAAGCAGACCCAUCCUUCUUCAUUUCCCCUUAAUACAUCCAGGUGACAAGCACUCUAGGAUGGGUCUUCCGCACCCUAAGUGGAGAAUUGCUGAGCCAAUUUAACUGAGCUUCUCUUACUCAAGCUGACACAGUCAGCCAUCACAGCCUCCAAGCGCCGACUGCAGCCAUCUUCUCCUGCUCCUCCUUGCCCUGCAUGCCCGGCUCUGCCCUCUCCUGUCCCCUGUGCAGCUCUCACUUCUAGGCACCUACUUGCCCAAUACACCUGUCUCUUUUACCCACAGCUGUACCUGAGGGUGGCCUGGAGACAGUGCCACUGACUCAAAGCCUGAAGCCACUGCAAAGUCAUACUCUCCAUCCCUCCAGCCCCCAGAUUUCCUGGCGACCCUUCUGGGGAGAGGUAUUUGUUAUUUGUUCGCUUGUCCAUCCAUCCAGUCACAUUUAUAAGCACUUACCUGACUCCUCUGAAUGAGGGGACCAAGGGAGCUGUCAGCUGUGGGAACACCUGGCCACAGGAAUCCAGAAGGGAAAUAGUGUGUGGGGAAAGAGGCUCCCCUGGAGCUGCAGGAAGAAGAAAGUGGGGUGCUGGAUAUUUUCUAGAUCCUUUCAAGGACUUUCCAGGGGUUCUAUUAUGGACAGAUAAGUUAGAUAGAAAUAUUACAGGCAGUCAAAUAGGAUUAGGCCCUCAAGAGAGCCAGGACAAAGGUGAAACACAAUACAACUGUGGCCAGAGAUGUAUCUGUUAGAGACCAGGCCUCAAGAUAAAGACGAGAUGACUAGGCCUAUAUACUUCCUAGACAAACACCGGGCCUAAUGGUCUGGAUAGACAUCCGUCACCCCCAGUGGGUGACCAAAGACCUCUGGAUCCAUCAUUUACUAGAAGAAGUCUUUGUUCUUUGCACACUUGUUACAUGACUUGUUUCCCAAUUGGAUCACUAGUUUCUAAGUGACUAUGCUUAUAACUUUAUUCAUUAUAGCUGAAAUCCACAUUGUACCCACGUGGGUUUUGCUCUAUAAAACUUCCCUGUAAAGUGGAGUCCUCCGGCUACCCAUUUGGGACCCCUCCUGCCUCUCGGGAGCUAGCCUCUCAAUAAACAUCUACUGUUCCUACUCUUAAUGUCUGUUAUUCCGAGAAUUCAUUCUUUGAUUUUUAGAGAUCAUGAGCUUAAAGUAUCAGAUCUAACAGGUUGGGGGAUAUAUUUUCAUAUUUUAUCUCCUAUAUCAUAUCCUGUAUCAGUUCCAGCCUCCUGGACUAUGCUAGAGGUUUGGAGUGUCCACUGCCACAGGAUGGGUGCCUCUUGGACCCAAGGAGCAUGCUGGAGGCAUGCUGGAGGCGCUAGACUCUCUGCAGGAUGGUAGAAUCAGCCCAGUAGUCCAAAACGGCCACACACUCAACCUCCUGGUAGCCUCCCCAAGCUCCCAUUUUCAGAGGAGGAGGGAUCCUGGGUGCAGGAUGCUGAGCUGUGGAGGGAGAUGCUGUCCAGCAGGUGCCACACAAAUCCUGCCCUCUGAGGUGGGGUUGGGAUGACCUGGCCACCACAGUCAGAUGAGCUCCGGAUGUGCAUGGUUUCUCUAAGUAAGCUUUAUAUUAACUCUAGCAGCGCCGAGUGUUCCCAUUUUAUGGGUGAGGAGACUGAGGCAUGGAGAAGAGCCCAGAAGUGACUAACCAGGGAUUUGAAUUCACAUCUCACUUCAGGAGUCUGAGUCCUGGGCCA